AAUGUGAUUGAUAGAUCAUAUAGUCUCACUCAGUUUAGCUUUGUAGGAAACUUCCAAAUUAUUUUUAAAGGCUGUGUACUAUUUUGCAUUCCCACCAGCUAU
RNAcentral lists this microRNA precursor (102 nucleotides) under Marmota monax (woodchuck). The record is from RNAcentral. Lineage: Eukaryota; Metazoa; Chordata; Mammalia; Rodentia; Sciuridae.